RNAcentral lists this ribosomal RNA (468 nucleotides) under uncultured bacterium. RNAcentral describes it as "partial 16S ribosomal RNA". It matches the Rfam family "Bacterial small subunit ribosomal RNA", at positions 28 to 507 of the family's 1533-position model. The record is from RNAcentral.
GACGAACGCUGGCGGCGUGCUUAACACAUGCAAGUCGAACGGAAAGGCCCUGCUUUUGUGGGGUGCUCGAGUGGCGAACGGGUGAGUAAAACGUGAGUAACCUGCCCUUGACUUUGGGAUAACUUCAGGAAACUGGGGCUCAUAUCGGAUAGGAGCUCCUGCUGCAUGGUGGGGGUUGGAAAGUUUCGGCGGUUGGGGAUGGACUCGCGGCUUAUCAGCUUGUUGGUGGGGUAGUGGCUUACCAAGGUUUUGACGGGUAGCCGGCCUGAGAGGGUGACCGGCCACAUUGGGACUGAGAUACGGCCCAGACCCCUACGGGAGGCAGCAGUGGGGAAUAUUGCACAAUAGGCGGAAGCCUGAUGCAGCAACGCCGCGUGCGGGAUGACGGCCUUCGGGUUGUAAACCGCUUUCGCCUGUGACGAAGCGUGAGUGACGGUAAUGGGUAAAGAAGCACCGGCUAACUACGUG